This 497-nucleotide ribosomal RNA is filed under the name uncultured bacterium. RNAcentral describes it as "partial 16S ribosomal RNA". It matches the Rfam family "Bacterial small subunit ribosomal RNA", at positions 28 to 507 of the family's 1533-position model. The record is from RNAcentral.
GAUGAACGCUGGCGGCGUGCCUAAUACAUGCAAGUCGAACGAAAAGACGCGGAGCUUGCUCCUCUGACGUUAGCGGAGGACGUGUGAGUCACACGUGGAUAACCUACCUAUAAGACUGGGAUAACUUCGGGACACCGGAGCUAAUACCGGAUAAUAUAUUGCACCGCAUGGUUCAAUGGUAAAAUACGGUUUUGCUGUCACUUCUCGCUGGUUACGCGCCGCAUUAGCUAGUUGGUAAGGUAACGGCUUACCACGGCAACCAUUCGUAGCCGACCGGAGAGGCUGAUCGGCGACACUGGAACUGAGACACGGUCCAUACUCCUACGGGAGGCAGCAGUAGGGAAUCUUCCGCAGUGGGCGAAAGCCUGACGGAGCAACGCCACGUGAGUUAUGAAGAUCUUCGGAGCGUAAAACCCGGUUAUUAGGGAAGAACAAAUGUGGAAUUAACUAUACACGGCUUGACGGUACCUAAUAAAAAAGCCACGGCUAACUACGUG